This 22-nucleotide microRNA is filed under the name Homo sapiens (human). Its description in RNAcentral is "hsa-miR-5706". Lineage: Eukaryota; Metazoa; Chordata; Mammalia; Primates; Hominidae. The record is from miRBase by way of RNAcentral.
UUCUGGAUAACAUGCUGAAGCU